UUCCCCCUGUCUCUCUGUUCGGCCUCAUUUCCCCCUGUCUCUCUGUUCGGCCUCAUUUCCCCCUUGACUUAUCAUUCGGCUUCUCCUCUCAUGUACCGUUCGACCUUACUUCCCCCUGCCUUAUCGUUCGGUAUUAGGUUAAUUCUCUCCUCUUUUAUUCCUAACAAUAUUGUACUGUUUUUCUUUUGAAAAUAUUACUUAAAGAGCCUAUUUGUAAUUUUCUUGUAAGUUUUACUCCUGCUUAGGCCUGAGAAUCAUAGUUAAUUAGUCAUGUUUCCAAAAGUCGUACUUAUGAGUGACCCAUUGAUGUUUUCG
Molecule: small RNA, 315 nt
Filed under: Vigna angularis var. angularis
Lineage: Eukaryota; Viridiplantae; Streptophyta; Magnoliopsida; Fabales; Fabaceae
Description: Non-protein coding transcript
Source: RNAcentral